Molecule: long non-coding RNA, 1352 nt
Filed under: Mytilus galloprovincialis (Mediterranean mussel)
Lineage: Eukaryota; Metazoa; Mollusca; Bivalvia; Mytilida; Mytilidae
Source: RNAcentral
UGGGGAUUUCCUUCACACAUGGGUCCAAUCAGAUGUCAAAAUUGUGGUCUCCUCACUUGACGGCAUCCAAUCAAAGUGGGGAAAAUAUUCUUUUUUUGGUAAACAAAAAUAUCUUGAGAUUUUGAUGGUAAGGAUGAUCAAGGAUAGGUUCGGACAACGCUCUAAUUCACUAAAAAUCCUUUAUCUCUUAAAUUUUGCCUAAAAUUCUUGUCGGCUUUUAGCAGGAUUCUGCAGGUGAGCAUUAGAUUGGUAUCAGAGCAUCACAUUUUUUGCCAUAUUUGCAAUGCAUUUAUAAUGUUUUAAAUCUCCAUGCUGGACAGACCCCACAUUUAAAGAGUUUUCUAUAUAUUUACAUAAGCACGCACACAUCUUAGUUCCUUGAAACCAUACAUUUUAUUUGUAUAUAAGCUUGAAUGAAUUUUCAAGAAAAUAAAAUCAUAAAUCCAUGAAAUUCUAAAGAAUUAUUGUAAAAUAACUGGUUUCUGCCACCUUAAGCCUUAACAUGAUUUUAAAAUAUCACGAAACUGUGCUUUUUUAAGAGUUCUACAGGUGUGUGGUAUUAUAUUUCUUUUAUUCACAGUCAAUGUAUAGGUCUGUUUGCAAGCAAAUAGUUUUUACAUGGAUUUUAAGAAUUAUCAAAUAUCAAGACAGAUAACUCUGUAUCCCAAUACAAACAAUGACAUUCAAUUGAUUAGUUUAGAAAUGAUUAUGUUCACCAAACAAUGAUUUUAUAUCAUAAAUAAUAUAGAAAUAGCAAUUACAAAGAGAGAAAAAAGUAAAUCAAGCCUCAGCAUAGUACAAGAAAAAGCUGAUUAUACUGUAUAUUACCUGUUAUAAUGAUUUAUUUCUUAUGAUAUGGACAUUUUCUUAUUUAUUUACUUUUUAACAAUGAAUAUAUGAAUUCUUCUUUUUUAUAGCUCUACUACAUAGUUGAUACAGUAGGACAGGCUACAAAAAUAAGAAAACUGGCCUCUCUCAUCACCAAUAGUGUGGCAGUUCUAAAAUUUCAACAUGCGGCCUACACAGCUAGCUCAUGUGGAGAAGAGAUAUUGAGACUGAUUGCGAAUAAAUGUACACUUAGUUAAGUGCAUCAUGGAUCUACAAAGUGAAAUAUAUGUACCAAAAAUAUAAGUUUAUUUAUAACUUAGCCUUUUUCAGCACUGCAGUCAAUAGAACAAUGAUAGUGACAAGAAUUGAGACUAUUUAAUACCUCAAACAAUGGGAAAAUACUUCUUGAGAUCAGUUGUAAGUGGUUUUAUAUCAUGCAUGAAACAAUAAACUAAAGUAGUUUUAAACACUGUUGGAUAAUUCAUACACUGUACCAGAAAACUCACACAAUAAAAGUUAUUAAA